GACGAACGCUGGCGGCGUGCUUAACACAUGCAAGUCGAACGGAAAGGCCCUGCUUGCAGUGUACUCGAGUGGCGAACGGGUGAGUAACACGUGGGUGAUCUGCCCUGCUCUUCGGGUUAAGUCUGGGAAACUGAGUCUAAUUCCGGCUGGGUGCCAUUUUUAGUGUGAUGGUUGGAAAGUUUUUUCGGUGUUGGGUGAGCUCGCGGCCUAUCUGCUUGUUGGUGGGGUAAUGGCCUACCAAGGCGGCGUCGGGUAGCCGGCCUGCGAGGGUGGACGGCCACAUUGGGACUGAGAUACGGCCCAGACUCCUACGGGAGGCAGCAGUGGGGAAGAUUGCACAAUGGGCGCAAGCCUGAUGCAGCGACGCCGCGUGGGGGAUGACGGCCUUCGGGUUGUAAACUCCUUUCGCUAGGGACGAAGCUUUUUGUGACGGUACCUAGAUAAGAAGCACCGGCUAACUACGUG
This 465-nucleotide ribosomal RNA is filed under the name uncultured bacterium. RNAcentral's name for it is "partial 16S ribosomal RNA". It matches the Rfam family "Bacterial small subunit ribosomal RNA", at positions 28 to 507 of the family's 1533-position model. The record is from RNAcentral.